RNAcentral lists this ribosomal RNA (444 nucleotides) under uncultured bacterium. RNAcentral describes it as "partial 16S ribosomal RNA". It matches the Rfam family "Bacterial small subunit ribosomal RNA", at positions 339 to 795 of the family's 1533-position model. The record is from RNAcentral.
CUACGGGGUGCUGCAGUGGGGAAUAUUGCACAAUGGGCGAAAGCCUGAUGCAGCAACGCCGCGUGAGGGACGACGGCCUUCGGGUUGUAAACCUCUUUUAGCAGGGAAGAAGCGAAAGUGACGGUACCUGCAGAAAAAGCACCGGCUAACUACGUGCCAGCAGCCGCGGUAAUACGUAGGGUGCAAGCGUUGUCCGGAAUUAUUGGGCGUAAAGAGCUCGUAGGCGGUUUGUCGCGUCUGCUGUGAAAAUCCGAGGCUCAACCUCGGACCUGCAGUGGGUACGGGCAAACUAGAGUGCGGUAGGGGAGAGUGGAAUUCCUGGUGUAGCGGUGGAAUGCGCAGAUAUCAGGAGGAACACCAAUGGCGAAGGCAGAUCUCUGGGCCGUAACUGACGCUGAGGAGCGAAAGCGUGGGGAGCGAACAGGAUUAGAUACCCGCGUAGUC